RNAcentral lists this transfer RNA (74 nucleotides) under Bacteroides uniformis. RNAcentral describes it as "tRNA-Gln". It matches the Rfam family "tRNA". From Rfam's summary of the family: Transfer RNA (tRNA) molecules are approximately 80 nucleotides in length. Their secondary structure includes four short double-helical elements and three loops (D, anti-codon, and T loops). RNAcentral also lists the same sequence under 2 other names. The record is from RNAcentral. Lineage: Bacteria; Pseudomonadati; Bacteroidota; Bacteroidia; Bacteroidales; Bacteroidaceae.
UGCGGCAUAGCCAAAAGGUAAGGCACAUGGUUUUGACCCAUGUAAUGGAAGUUCGAUUCUUUCUGCCGCAACCA